UGAUUGGUUAAGGCUCCCAGUAGACGACUGGGUUGAUAGGCCAGAUGUGGAAGCCCGGUAACGGGUGGAGCUGACUGGUACUAAUAGGCCGAGGGCUUGUCCUCAGUUG
This 109-nucleotide ribosomal RNA is filed under the name Streptomyces sp. A1277. RNAcentral's name for it is "partial 23S ribosomal RNA". It matches the Rfam family "Bacterial large subunit ribosomal RNA", at positions 2821 to 2925 of the family's 2925-position model. The record is from RNAcentral. Lineage: Bacteria; Bacillati; Actinomycetota; Actinomycetes; Kitasatosporales; Streptomycetaceae.